RNAcentral lists this ribosomal RNA (490 nucleotides) under uncultured bacterium. Its description in RNAcentral is "bacterial SSU rRNA". It matches the Rfam family "Bacterial small subunit ribosomal RNA", at positions 368 to 876 of the family's 1533-position model. The record is from RNAcentral.
GCAAUGGGCGAAAGCCUGACGCAGCCAUGCCGCGUGAAUGAUGAAGGUCUUAGGAUUGUAAAAUUCUUUCACCGGGGACGAUAAUGACGGUACCCGGAGAAGAAGCCCCGGCUAACUUCGUGCCAGCAGCCGCGGUAAUACGAAGGGGGCUAGCGUUGCUCGGAAUUACUGGGCGUAAAGGGCGCGUAGGCGGAUCGUUAAGUCAGGGGUGAAAUCCCAGAGCUCAACUCUGGAACUGCCUUUGAUACUGGCGAUCUUGAGUAUGAGAGAGGUAUGUGGAACUCCGAGUGUAGAGGUGAAAUUCGUAGAUAUUCGGAAGAACACCAGUGGCGAAGGCGACAUACUGGCUCAUUACUGACGCUGAGGCGCGAAAGCGUGGGGAGCAAACAGGAUUAGAUACCCUGGUAGUCCACGCCGUAAACGAUGAUUGCUAGUUGUCGGGCUGCAUGCAGUUCGGUGACGCAGCUAACGCAUUAAGCAAUCCGCCUGG